This 480-nucleotide ribosomal RNA is filed under the name uncultured bacterium. RNAcentral describes it as "partial 16S ribosomal RNA". It matches the Rfam family "Bacterial small subunit ribosomal RNA", at positions 29 to 507 of the family's 1533-position model. The record is from RNAcentral.
AUGAACGCUGGCGGCGUGCUUAACACCUGCAAGUCGCACGAAGCACUUUAUUUGAUUUCCUUCGGGACUGAUUAUUUUGUGACUGAGUGGCGGACGGGUGAGUAACGCGUGGGUAACCUGCCUUGUACAGGGGGAUAACAGUUGGAAACGGCUGCUAAUACCGCAUAAGCGCACAGCAUCGCAUGAUGCAGUGUGAAAAACUCCGGUGGUAUAAGAUGGACCCGCGUUGGAUUAGCUAGUUGGUGAGGUAACGGCCCACCAAGGCGACGAUCCAUAGCCGACCUGAGAGGGUGACCGGCCACAUUGGGACUGAGACACGGCCCAAACUCCUACGGGAGGCAGCAGUGGGGAAUAUUGCACAAUGGGCGAAAGCCUGAUGCAGCGACGCCGCGUGAGCGAAGAAGUAUUUCGGUAUGUAAAGCUCUAUCAGCAGGGAAGAUAAUGACGGUACCUGACUAAGAAGCACCGGCUAAAUACGUG